This 221-nucleotide ribosomal RNA is filed under the name uncultured bacterium. Its description in RNAcentral is "partial 16S ribosomal RNA". It matches the Rfam family "Bacterial small subunit ribosomal RNA", at positions 524 to 741 of the family's 1533-position model. The record is from RNAcentral.
UACGUAGGGGGGCAAGCGUUGUCCGGAUUUAUUGGGCGUAAAGAGCGUGUAGGCGGUUUUACAGGUCCGCUGUGAAAACUCGAGGCUCAACCUCGAGCUGUCGGUGGAAACCGUAAGGCUAGAGUCCGGAAGAGGAGAGUGGAAUUCCUGGUGUAGCGGUGAAAUGCGCAGAUAUCGAGGAAGAACACCCGUGGCGAAGGCGGCUCUCUGGGAGCGGUACU